UUUAUGGGGUGACUGCGUACCUUUUGUAUAAUGGGUCAGCGACUUAUAUUCUGUAGCAAGGUUAACCGAAUAGGGGAGCCGAAGGGAAACCGAGUCUUAACUGGGCGUUAAGUUGCAGGGUAUAGACCCGAAACCCGGUGAUCUAGCCAUGGGCAGGUUGAAGGUUGGGUAACACUAACUGGAGGACCGAACCGACUAAUGUUGAAAAAUUAGCGGAUGACUUGUGGCUGGGGGUGAAAGGCCAAUCAAACCGGGAGAUAGCUGGUUCUCCCCGAAAGCUAUUUAGGUAGCGCCUCGUGAAUUCAUCUCCGGGGGUAGAGCACUGUUUCGGCAAGGGGGUCAUCCCGACUUACCAACCCGAUGCAAACUGCGAAUACCGGAGAAUGUUAUCACGGGAGACACACGGCGGGUGCUAACGUCCGUCGUGAAGAGGGAAACAACCCAGACCGCCAGCUAAGGUCCCAAAGUCAUGGUUAAGUGGGAAACGAUGUGGGAAGGCCCAGACAGCCAGGAUGUUGGCUUAGAAGCAGCCAUCAUUUAAAGAAAGCGUAAUAGCUCACUGGUCGAGUCGGCCUGCGCGGAAGAUGUAACGGGGCUAAACCAUGCACCGAAGCUGCGGCAGCGACACUAUGUGUUGUUGGGUAGGGGAGCGUUCUGUAAGCCUGUGAAGGUGUACUGUGAGGUAUGCUGGAGGUAUCAGAAGUGCGAAUGCUGACAUAAGUAACGAUAAAGCGGGUGAAAAGCCCGCUCGCCGGAAGACCAAGGGUUCCUGUCCAACGUUAAUCGGGGCAGGGUGAGUCGACCCCUAAGGCGAGGCCGAAAGGCGUAGUCGAUGGGAAACAGGUUAAUAUUCCUGUACUUGGUGUUACUGCGAAGGGGGGACGGAGAAGGCUAUGUUGGCCGGGCGACGGUUGUCCCGGUUUAAGCGUGUAGGCUGGUUUUCCAGGCAAAUCCGGAAAAUCAAGGCUGAGGCGUGAUGACGAGGCACUACGGUGCUGAAGCAACAAAUGCCCUGCUUCCAGGAAAAGCCUCUAAGCAUCAGGUAACAUUAAAUCGUACCCCAAACCGACACAGGUGGUCAGGUAGAGAAUACCAAGGCGCUUGAGAGAACUCGGGUGAAGGAACUAGGCAAAAUGGUGCCGUAACUUCGGGAGAAGGCACGCUGAUAUGUAGGUGAAGCGACUUGCUCGUGGAGCUGAAAUCAGUCGAAGAUACCAGCUGGCUGCAACUGUUUAUUAAAAACACAGCACUGUGCAAACACGAAAGUGGACGUAUACGGUGUGACGCCUGCCCGGUGCCGGAAGGUUAAUUGAUGGGGUUAGCGGUAACGCGAAGCUCUUGAUCGAAGCCCCGGUAAACGGCGGCCGUAACUAUAACGGUCCUAAGGUAGCGAAAUUCCUUGUCGGGUAAGUUCCGACCUGCACGAAUGGCGUAAUGAUGGCCAGGCUGUCUCCACCCGAGACUCAGUGAAAUUGAACUCGCUGUGAAGAUGCAGUGUACCCGCGGCAAGACGGAAAGACCCCGUGAACCUUUACUAUAGCUUGACACUGAACAUUGAGCCUUGAUGUGUAGGAUAGGUGGGAGGCUUUGAAGUGUGGACGCCAGUCUGCAUGGAGCCGGCCUUGAAAUACCACCCUUUAAUGUUUGAUGUUCUAACGUUGGCCCCUGACCGGGGUUGCGGACAGUGUCUGGUGGGUAGUUUGACUGGGGCGGUCUCCUCCUAAAGAGUAACGGAGGAGCACGAAGGUUGGCUAAUCCUGGUCGGACAUCAGGAGGUUAGUGCAAUGGCAUAAGCCAGCUUGACUGCGAGCGUGACGGCGCGAGCAGGUGCGAAAGCAGGUCAUAGUGAUCCGGUGGUUCUGAAUGGAAGGGCCAUCGCUCAACGGAUAAAAGGUACUCCGGGGAUAACAGGCUGAUACCGCCCAAGAGUUCAUAUCGACGGCGGUGUUUGGCACCUCGAUGUCGGCUCAUCACAUCCUGGGGCUGAAGUAGGUCCCAAGGGUAUGGCUGUUCGCCAUUUAAAGUGGUACGCGAGCUGGGUUUAGAACGUCGUGAGACAGUUCGGUCCCUAUCUGCCGUGGGCGCUGGAGAACUGAGGGGGGCUGCUCCUAGUACGAGAGGACCGGAGUGGACGCAUCACUGGUGUUCGGGUUGUCAUGCCAAUGGCACUGCCCGGUAGCUAAAUGCGGAAGAGAUAAGUGCUGAAAGCAUCUAAGCACGAAACUUGCCCCGAGAUGAGUUCUCCCUGACUCCUUGAGAGUCCUGAAGGAACGUUGAAGACGACGACGUUGAUAGGCCGGGUGUGUAAGCGCAGCGAUGCGUUGAGCUAACCGGUACUAAUGAACCGUGAGGCUUAACCUU
RNAcentral lists this ribosomal RNA (2361 nucleotides) under Escherichia coli. RNAcentral's name for it is "partial 23S ribosomal RNA". It matches the Rfam family "Bacterial large subunit ribosomal RNA", at positions 585 to 2925 of the family's 2925-position model. The record is from RNAcentral. Lineage: Bacteria; Pseudomonadati; Pseudomonadota; Gammaproteobacteria; Enterobacterales; Enterobacteriaceae.